Molecule: ribosomal RNA, 440 nt
Filed under: uncultured bacterium
Lineage: Bacteria
Description: partial 16S ribosomal RNA
Rfam family: Bacterial small subunit ribosomal RNA
Source: RNAcentral
CCUACGGGAGGCAGCAGUGGGGAAUAUUGGACAAUGGGGGAAACCCUGAUGCAGCGACGCCGCGUGAGUGAAGAAGUAUUUCGGUAUGUAAAGCUCUAUCAGCAGGGAAGAAAAUGACGGUACCUGACUAAGAAGCCCCGGCUAACUACGUGCCAGCAGCCGCGGUAAUACGUAGGGGGCAAGCGUUAUCCGGAUUUACUGGGUGUAAAGGGAGCGUAGACGGUGCAGCAAGUCUGAUGUGAAAGGUCGGGGCUCAACCCCGGGACUGCAUUGGAAACUGUUGAGCUGGAGUACAGGAGAGGUAAGCGGAAUUCCUAGUGUAGCGGUGAAAUGCGUAGAUAUUAGGAGGAACACCAGUGGCGAAGGCGGCUUACUGGACUGUAACUGACGUUGAGGCUCGAAAGCGUGGGGAGCAAACAGGAUUAGAUACCCUUGUAGUC